CUAUACUAUGACAUUUUUUGACCAUUUUUGACCCCUUACUAUACUAUGACAUUUUUUGACCAUUUUUGACAACAUACUAUACUAUGACAUUUUUUGAACAUUUUUGAUGCCUUACUAAACAGUGCUCUGUGUUGGACAGUUGAUGUAAAGCUGUUUGUGAAUUACCUGGAGGCCUCUGUCUUGGUCUGAAAGAACUUCUUCACUGUACGAAGACUCUCUGUGAUCUUGGACUACAUCUCUGUGAUCGCGGACUACGUCUCAGUGAUCGCGGACUACGUCUCAGUGAUCGCGGACAAUGUCUCUGAGAUUAUGGACAAUGUCUCUCCGUUCAUGGACUAUGUCUUUGUGAUCGUGGACGAUGUCUCUGAGAUCAUAGACGGUGUCUCUGUGGUCAUCAACAAUGUCCCUGAUCGCGGGCAAUGCCGUCAAAUCGGUGACCCCCGUCUCCGCCGAUUCUAUCGCAAGGUCUCUGCAAUCACGGACAAUGUCUCUGAUCGUGGACGAUGUCUCCCUCAUCCUCAACAAUGUCUCUCCGACCAUGGACCAUGUCUCUGCGAUUGUGGACGAUGUCGUGGACAAAGUGGUGACACCUGGAGGAAAUCAAAGAGAAACAGACAAAGGAAAAUGAUGAAUACACUACUACCUAUUCCUCAUCAACAGUUUAACCAUGAAAACACAGAGAAAUAUUCAACAUUAGAGGCUCCUUCAGAAAAUUAACAGUUGACUGUCAUCACCUCCUGAAGAACCAACAACAGUAAAUAUUUGGGAAAAAGUCAAAUGAUUAUUGAUUGUGUGUCUAUCAACUAAUCACUGAAGCAAUCAUGUAUGUUACUGUGAACUGCACAACAAUAAUAAACACUAUCAGUUAAGUAAA
Molecule: long non-coding RNA, 874 nt
Organism: Lates calcarifer (barramundi perch)
Lineage: Eukaryota; Metazoa; Chordata; Actinopteri; Centropomidae
Exons: 2
Source: RefSeq, a predicted model, not a curated record